AAUAUUGGGCAAUGGGCGAAAGCCUGCCCCAGCCACGCCGCGUGAGUGAUGAAGGCCUUCGGGUCGUAAAGCUCUGUGGGGAGGGACGAACAAGCUGCGUAUUAACACUACGUGGACCUGACGGUACCUCCUUAGCAAGCACCGGCUAACCCUGUGCCAGCAGCCGCGGUAAUACAGGGGGUGCAAACGUUGCUCGGAAUUAUUGGGCGUAAAGCGCGCGUAGGCGGUUACUUAAGUCGGAUGUGAAAGCCCUUGGCUCAACUGAGGAAGUGCACCCGAAACUGAGUAGCUUGAGUACGAAAGAGGGUCGCGGAAUUCCCGGUGUAGAGGUGAAAUUCGUAGAUAUCGGGAGGAACACCGGUGGCGAAGGCGGCGACCUGGGUCGAUACUGACGCUGAGGCGCGAAAGCGUGGGGAGCAAAC
RNAcentral lists this ribosomal RNA (422 nucleotides) under uncultured bacterium. Its description in RNAcentral is "bacterial SSU rRNA". It matches the Rfam family "Bacterial small subunit ribosomal RNA", at positions 360 to 773 of the family's 1533-position model. The record is from RNAcentral.